Molecule: non-coding RNA, 1036 nt
Organism: Salvelinus sp. IW2-2015
Lineage: Eukaryota; Metazoa; Chordata; Actinopteri; Salmoniformes; Salmonidae
Source: RefSeq, a predicted model, not a curated record
CUGCUGCCCAGACUACACAUUAUAAAGGUGGUGGCCAGGAAGUACCGUGGCUUUGAGAUCCCGGCGGAGAUGGUGGGGGUGUGGCGCUAUCUGAACCACGCCUACAAGAGGGAAGAGUUUACUAACACCUGUCCUGUUGAGCACGAAAUCGAAUUUGCCUACAUAGAUGUGGCCAAACGAAUCAAAUAGCGAGAGGGGGAGGAGGGAGAGACUGAGAAGGCCCAAUCCCAAAUUGUAUGUGUGUGUGCGUGUGUGUGUCUUUGUGCACUCACAGGUUGGGUUGCGCGGCACUCAUAUGUAGUGUCAUGCCUGCUGUGAAUGAAAGACCACUAGACAGAGAGGUCUGCAUCCAUUUCACAUCCAGUCCUUUUGGCCAAAGCCCUCUGCGGUGCACUAUAAUACAGGUAUAUGGUGUCAUUGAAGACGCAGACACUGUUAGAAACCUAGAGUACGAACACUAACAGCGUAUAGUACUARCUACUAAUACUGCAACAUUGUAAAACUAUCCUAAAGCAGCCAUAAGCAUUCAUUAGAGUGUUAUAACCUCUGUGUCUUAGAGGUAUAGCAGAGCACAGGUAGACAUGCCAUACUUAUAUGAAUAUGCAACACUUUGGCCUUGACCACAGUAUUAACCUAUAUCUAAAAAAUUAACAUACAUAUACUUUAUAAAUUCACUUUUCAUUAGUUUCUCCCCCGUCUUAUUUUGGCUAUCUAUGGGUGAAUAAUAAUCAAUAGUAAAAACCUUUUUGAUGUCAAGGUCUGACUUUUCUAUUUGUACGUUUUGUAAAAGCAAAUCUGCUUUAAUACCAUUUAUAUCGAAUUCUAUUGACCAUAACAUGAUUGUGGGUGGGGCUUUCUGUUGAGAAGCUCACCUGUUUGGGCCUUCCUGAACAUGCAGGUUGAAUCGGAAGCCAUUUUGAUUGUGGCGGAAGUGUGUACUGUAUCUCUCUAUGCACCAAACAAAUACUGACACAACCCUGUGUACUCGCCUUAUAAUCCUCACCAGAGGAGACUUUAUUAAACUGAUUUCAGAACA